CAACAUCUGGUGCCCAACGUGGGGCUCGAGGGAAACCGAAAGGGUUUUGGACCCCAGCAAGAUUGAUCAAAAUCAACAAUGGCUGAUCCUUUUGUUCAAAAAUUCGAAGAGCUUACUAUGCAGAAAAGCUUUACUUUCCAUACAAGAGAAGCAACACCUCCUACGUGGGGUCAAAUGAAGAGGUUGACCCAGGAAGCAGAGAAGACGUUAAUGAAGAUGAACAAGUUGGAUUUAGAAAAGGCAGAGGAACAAGAGGUCAAGUUGCCAACAACCACUGAAUCAUAAAAAAAGCAAGGGGAUUCCAGAAAAGCCUCUACUUCUGCUUCAUUGAAUACACUA
Long non-coding RNA from Capra hircus (goat), 339 nucleotides. RefSeq lists it as uncharacterized. The record is from RefSeq and is a predicted model, not a curated record. NCBI's taxonomy places the organism in Eukaryota, Metazoa, Chordata, Mammalia, Artiodactyla, Bovidae. The transcript has 3 exons.